Molecule: ribosomal RNA, 443 nt
Filed under: uncultured bacterium
Lineage: Bacteria
Description: partial 16S ribosomal RNA
Rfam family: Bacterial small subunit ribosomal RNA
Source: RNAcentral
CCUACGGGUGGCAGCAGUGGGGGAUAUUGGACAAUGGGGGGAACCCUGAUCCAGCGACGCCGCGUGAGUGAAGAAGUAUUUCGGUAUGUACAGCUCUGUCAGCAGGGAAGAAAGAAAUGACGGUACCUGACCAAGAAGCCCCGGCUAACUACGUGCCAGCAGCCGCGGUAAUACGUAGGGGGCAAGCGUUAUCCGGAAUUACUGGGUGUAAAGGGAGCGUAGACGGUUAAGUAAGUCUGGAGUGAAAGGCCGGGGCUCAACCCCGGGACUGCUCUGGAAACUAUUUAACUUGAGUGCAGGAGAGGUAAGCGGAAUUCCUAGUGUAGCGGUGAAAUGCGUAGAUAUUAGGAGGAACACCAGUGGCGAAGGCGGCUUACUGGACUGUAACUGACGUUGAGGCUCGAAAGCGUGGGGAGCAAACAGGAUUAGAGACCCCGGUAGUC